Molecule: long non-coding RNA, 2734 nt
Organism: Triticum aestivum (bread wheat)
Lineage: Eukaryota; Viridiplantae; Streptophyta; Magnoliopsida; Poales; Poaceae
Exons: 4
Source: RefSeq, a predicted model, not a curated record
UGCCGGCGGCCUCCUCAUCUUCGCCAUUCGCCGACCCGCAGAACCACCGGCCGGCGAUCCCCUCCACCUCCUCCGCCUCCGCCGUAUUCCUACCGUUCCCCCAGUUCGCGUUUCUCCUCAACCUAUUGCCGGGCGGAGUGGGCAGGGAACCAGCUCCAGAUCGUACAGAGGAGACCGUUGGUGGCCGGCGAGCUUUUUGGCGCCGCCGGGGCGGACGGGGAUAGGCGCCGGCAUGAAAUCGCGAAAGUGCGAACUGUGCUGUGCCGCGAAUGUCAAGUAUUCCCAUGGGGACGGACGGGGAGGGAGCUAUAUGAAACAACAGAGCAGUUUACAGCUCUGGCUGGAGGAAGCAAAGUGUCAAUGCAAUGUAUAAUGCAGAGAUUUGAAACCACAACAAUAACAUGUUGGAACAAGUUCUUGUCAAAUAGGAAAACCGUAAAAGAAGAAGGCGUCCACUUCCUCUGUUUCAUAGUAGCUGCUUUGAAUUGAAAGUGAUUUGCUUUGCAAUGCAAGGGGAAGCUGAGCAGAGGAUAAGAACAGUGUUCUUUUUAUCCCUUCUAUAAAAUGAAUGUUUGCAAACUUGGGAUAUUCUGCAAUUCUGAUACGCUAUGGGUGAGAUUAAGAUGGUCAGUUCAAACAGAACUACUGUACAAUGUUACCACUCACCAAACCUGGGCUCUGGGGUCUUCCCCUCCCCAAGAGAAGGAUUUGUAGGUUUUUGAAUAAGACAAAUAACCCACAGGACAGUCUCGUUUCAUCUGCGGCCUGAUACAUCUGAAGCCAGAGGUGGAGCUGAGGAGCAUGCAUCUCCUGCCACGCCAAAGUUCACUGCAGUCAUUGCAACAAACUUAUAAUCUAUGUUGCUUUCCGUGUUUAUGGUGCCUUCCAAGACUUUGACAACCUCUGGCAUUUCCGGCCUCUUUUUGCAAUCAAUCUGCAAACACCACAUUGCCAUCCUCAUCAUCCGAAUCACCUCUUGCUUGUUUACUUGCAUGUCGUCACUCUGCUUGUUGACUAGAUCUGCUAAUUGAUCCUAGCAAUCACUCACUCAUGUAAGGAUUCGGGAACCCAGCAAUGAGAUGACAGCGAACACCUUACUAUGGUGAGGAUGGCUAGUCGACUACACCAUGUCAAGGAUGAAGACAAUCCACAUGAGCGACAAUAUAUGGGCAACCACGGGAUGGAAUAGGUGGGCUGGGCAACAUUGUUUGACUGUGUGUGUACAGAUGUUGUAUAACAAAGAAGGUUUGCACUAUCACUAAUAUAUGCAAGAGUGAAAUAUACUGAAGAUUCCACGAAAUCUUAGCCCUCCCUAUGCAGCUCGAUUUCACGCAGCAACAUUCCAGGCAAUUAAUCACAUUCACAAUACAGAUCUGUCAUCAUUGAGCUUCUGGAUGUUAACAUGCUGAAAUUUGCCCACACAACAUACAAGAUUAUAUGGAGACAAAUGUUGGUAGCUGGGAUUCCUUUGCUUCAAGCCUCUGUACCUCGUCCUGUAAAUAUAAUAACCUGCGACACUCGAACUUUCAUGAUUGUUCUUUUAUUCCUUGUUUUUGGUUCAGAUAAGAGAUACUUACCAGCACUGCAGCUUCAGGACUUCAUUGAGCAGUUCCUUCUCCUUUUCUUGUGCUGCUUUCAAGUGAAAAUGUAGUGAGCGGGUUAUAACUCUUCGUGAGAUAUUACCAUCAUAAUUAAUAAAGAAAAUGGGUGACUGAAUAAAAUCUGCAAGAGCUUUGUUUCCAUCUUCACCAUAUUGGUGUCCUAAUAAUUUAAAUAACUAUCUUCUAUGUUUGGGUUGCUAAGAUCUUGUGGAAUCUUCUCGGAUAUUACUUCAAGAUUCAGAAUGGAAGAGUUCCUGUCAUUUUAACCAGAACAAGCUCACCAUGGAUCUUUCUACAGAUGACGAAGAUGUUGGGCUGACUGAACGAAGGCACGCAGACAGGUGAAACCCAAUGAGAACCAUUUAACUCCAUCAACAGAGCAAGCAUUUCAUUCUUGAGUUUCCUUUGUGGAAUCACUUUUUCUUCUUUGAUUGUGUGUGGAAUGGACGGGGGCUUUACUCUCUGAAGCAUAUUUGCCUGCACAACAUUGCCACCAAUACCCAUCCAUCGAUCUCACAUCUUUUUUUUUUUUUGAGAAACAUCGAUCUCACAUCUAACGGGUAGAUUUCUAACUAUGCAUCAGUGUGGAGCCUGUAGUAAUAGUAAGAUAAGAUUCAGCCGGUCAACUCUUAGUUGUUUGGACCACAAUUAAUUAAGGUGGGUUUCUAAAAGCACCAAAUCACAUGCUUGUUAGCUUGCUCCAUCAGCCACCAUAAUGUCUUGGCUUGCAAGAACCUGUUUAUUAAGAUGGGUACGUUGUUCAACCAUUCAGAGAAUCACAUGCUUUGCCUACUCGAUCCAAUCAACCACCACAGUUUUUGAGACGAUGACCAUGACUCAUUCACAUUUGUGUUAUAUAUUCACUACACUUGAGCCUUAGUUAAUGUACAAGUUGCUGAAAGCAUGUGCAGUUUGGACUUUACACAUAACAUACGUGUUGAUAUGCCCAAUAUCCAAAGUCCCCUGGGAGGCCGCCUUGUCUCACAGCAAGUUCUGGCCGUGCCCCUGAACUGCCCACACACCAAAGGCCGCCGGUGAUCCCCUUCUCUGCAGUCUGCACAAGCUGCCGCUCAACGGAACAGAUGAGCGGAGCGGCACACUGAGGUGGAGAAGGCAUCACGCUCCAGCGCUCA